CCGCAUAAGGGUGUGUGAGCAUAUAUAUCAGAAAGGUCUCGACGGAGGCAUAGAAGUAGGGUACAUACAUAGAUGUGUACAGCGUGACGACCGCUAUUGGAAAAUCCGGUAACCUGCGGUUAUAUUCGUGGUGGUCAGCUUCACUUUUGCUUUGUGUCUUCAGGGAACGACAGCCUCCGGCGACUGAAUGGGAGGAGACAAGGAAGCCUCAGGGAACGCUUUGAGUACUAUAAUUCUCCAGUCAUCAUGGUGGUAGAGGGUUGGAUGCAACAGCUCAGUUGAGGGCAUCCUAGCAAGACUUAGUAAAGUUGAAUCAUCGCCGUUAAGGUUUGAUGGAUGCGCUGCCUAUGUGCUGUCAAAGUAUAAGAUGCAUAUCGGAGGUUUUGAGAGCUAUCUACAAAUAGUAGGCGAACGAUGACAGCAGAUUUCAAAGCGAAAAUGCUGGAGACAUCUACGUGUCUUCAUAGCUAUCACAAAAAUUUUAAGUAUCUUACA
Molecule: small RNA, 495 nt
Filed under: Histoplasma ohiense
Lineage: Eukaryota; Fungi; Ascomycota; Eurotiomycetes; Onygenales; Ajellomycetaceae
Description: hypothetical lncRNA
Source: RNAcentral